Molecule: non-coding RNA, 376 nt
Organism: Parasteatoda tepidariorum (common house spider)
Lineage: Eukaryota; Metazoa; Arthropoda; Arachnida; Araneae; Theridiidae
Source: RefSeq, a predicted model, not a curated record
UCUCAGAGCACUUUAUUUCCCUUAGGCUUACGUAGUUAACUUUAGGGUCACCCUGUGUACCCCCUAAUUGACCUAUAAUUAUUUCCCGUGGUAGGGUACACUAUUACCCUGUAAUAUAAUACGUAUUCCAAUUUAAAAAUUAUAGGUCAAUAUUAAGGUCCGAUACCGUGCCGUUAGUUAACAUAGAAAAAUGUCUUUGAAUUUUUAAAGCAUUUUAGAACGCUUAUUUCCUCAUUUUAAGCUUCUCAGAACACUUUAUUUCGCACUUGCAUACAUAGUAAACUUUAGGGUCACGCUGUGUGCCCCCUAAAUGACCUAUAAUUAUUUCCUGUGGUUGGGUACACUAUUACCCUGUAAUAUAAUACUUGGUCCAAUU